Molecule: RNA transcript, 3063 nt
Organism: Bombus pyrosoma
Lineage: Eukaryota; Metazoa; Arthropoda; Insecta; Hymenoptera; Apidae
Exons: 4
Source: RefSeq, a predicted model, not a curated record
CACUUUACCGUAUACCUGUUAUUAUGUGUUUAUUUCGUGUACACGUCCGCAUCCACGAUUUUCUACUUGGAGAAUGGCUUUAGAAGAAGACCAUGCACCGAACGUACGUUGCCCUCUCUUUUGUUUCCCAGCUUUUCAACGAUUUCGAUCUUGACGUUCACGCACCUAAUUUAGCAACGAGUUUUGUCAUUUCGGUGUAAUCAGUGAAUCUUUAACGAAAAAGAAUGUUGUCAAACAUGUCGGGCCAUGUUUUUUCUAUAGCUUUGUGACAAGUAUGGACAGGGAGAUCGAUAUAUAGUACUUUUGAAAGGAGAGAAUAAAUAUUUGCACAUACGAAUAGAAUAUGUAGCAGGUGUCAUGAAGAAAUUAUCGCGGCGUAAAAGAAAAGAAAAUUAAAACCUGUGUCAAGAUAGGAAGGGUCGCACACAGGUACAUAGAACGAUAUUGUGAAACGAGCGACACGGUUAGAGCAGAUGUAGCCACGAAGCGUGCAUGCAAGUGUAUCGUCAUGUGCAUUAUGACAGUGUUUUCCUAUCGAUGUUUACUCGACGAUAACGUUGCUGGGUCUUACAAAUGCGAUUCUAUAUGAUGGUGUACGUGACCGAUAUGUCGAAGGCGUGCCGUCUGGGACCACAGAAGCUGCAACAGCAUAUACCAAGGAGACGCACUAAGAACCGUAGUUCCGGAAUUUAUCAGUGGGAAGCAAUUACGAACUGUAUGGGACGUGACAUGGCACUCGUACAAUUCGACAAAAAGAAUUAUUCGCGAGUUAAAGGAUUGUUUGAGUACAACUUGAAUAUUAUUAUUCCACCCGGUUGUCAACGGAACAUGGAGUUUUCAACACUCAUCGCUGUAGCGUCAACGAAACAGCGGUUGGGUUUGCCAUCUGUUUGCUGGCAGUAUCGGUCCUCGAUGACUCCGAACGUGUAAUGCUUCAUUGUCGAAAAUGGUCAGAAGAAAGGCUAAAUACGAAAAGGCUGGAAGGUGCACCGUAAAAAGUUAACUAACCUGCAACUUCGCAAUCUGCGUGCUCUUGGAAAGUCUUGCAAACUUUGCGCGAAUUGUUAGGAAGAUUCGCAAGAAGACAGAAAGUAAGAUGGAGAGAUCUCGCUUUAAGGCACCAAACGCCAUUCCCUAGUGAUAAUAUUACUCUCGGUUAAAGUUAUCUAACCAGUCGAAAUGUUAUCGUUAAUUUCGUAAAUAUUUUAUGGCUUGCGAUUUUAUUCAGCGCGUGUAUACAUAUAUCGAGCGUUUGAGUAGACUAUUUAUGAGCCUGAUGAGAAUAGUUAUAGAUCACAUGUAGUAUAGAAACUGGAUUUGUGCCAGGAUACAUCCCCUCUCCGAAGUAAUUUGUCGUAUCUGAAAUAAUAUUAUAUUAACAAAAUAUCUCCUUAUUUGUCUAUGUAAUAUGUCUGUUAUUUAUAAAAAAUAUUUUAAAUACAAUUUCUAAUCGGAUUUGGUUUUGCGAUACAGAUCCGUUGUAUGCGAUGUAUAUUACAACAGGUAUCGUAUGUCCGACGCAUGUCUUUUGUUGCAACUACACACAUGCUGGUGCCGUAUUGUUCGUGCUACAGAACUAUAAACUCGAAAAAGAUUUUAUUCAAACGGCAAAAUACUUGCUGAAGUAAGGAAUCGAGUUUAUUACGAGUGUAGAUUGUAAAAUUUCUUUAAUUCUUUAAUUUAUCAACUACGUUCAUAAGGAGAUACAUUCGUAAUCUGUGUCUGACGUAUCUCGGAUAAUACUACUGCGGGUUGCUCGCUUCUUACGUGACGCUCGCGAUAUUCGUGUCGUAGACCUAUGAACUCGAAAAAAGAUUUGUUCGUAUGAAGGGACAUGCAUUGGAGUAUGAAAACAAUAUCGAAAAUACUCCGACGUUCGCUACACGCAUCGGUAGAAAUAUUCAAGUUUUGAGAGAAUCGUUUCUUAAAGUAUCGCAGAAUAAAGAAAGUUGAUUCGAUACGAAAAUAUAAAUAAAUUCGUUACGCAAAAUAGCAACAUUAAACGAAAAAAUUCCCUGUCACUUUUAACGCAAGAAUUCCGUUCGCAUUCGAAACUCGAAAACUGCAUUUAAUUUCUGCAACGUAUAAUCUUUAUAAUUCAACCGCACGCUUCAGCGCAUGCAAAAUUCAACAGAUUUAAAAGUAAUGAAAUUUUAUCCAGCCGAAAUUCCUUCCCUUUUUUUCUCUCUUUCUCUUCUCAUUCUUGUACAAGUAAAAAUGUAAAAGAGGCGAAACGGUGCAUGAAGAAAAUCGCGUUUAGCUCGACUAAAGCCAACCGUCGAGCAUUUUUUCUAGAAAGAAUAACGCGCUUCUAUCACGAAGAUUACAUCGGUGCAUCUGUCGUGUGUACACUGCUCGCUCCUGUUCGGUCGGAAGGCCGUUCAAUCGAACACCGUACGUGUGUCAAAGGAAUCGACAAAUCCGUCCUCGAGCCACCGGGAAACCGGAUAAUCGUAAAGUAAACGAAAUAUAUGGUUAUUUGUAUUCGACAAACGUUUCGCGAUUUCGAUGGUGAGUGGAAAACGUCGAGAUAGUUUUGUCCCCGUAGAAUUUCCACAAAGAUCUCUGCACGGUCAGAAGAAAAUUGUCGACGAAGUUUGCUUUCGACUCUCGGGUUCUCGUGAUUUAGAUUCUUCGUGUCAAAGAUAGUCGCAGCACUUCGCAAUUGGCUAGAUCAAUUCCAUUACUCGUCGAAUUGAGGGAUUGCCACGGCUUCGGGCUUGCCAAAGUAUGUAACACUUGCAGAAAUUGAAGUACGAACCCGGAUGCUGGCCCCGAAUUUCACGCGCUACCUGCUUCUAAACUCCGCCAAGAACUUACGUGAUCCAACGUUUACACGAAAUUCUUUCGUUCUGGAAAACAAUUUGCGAAAAAUAUCGCUGAUGUCGAAUACCUGCCAUAUCGGAUCGCUUACAGUUCAACGACCUAAAGAUUUUCAUCAUUUUCAUAAUUUCUAUUUGAUUAAGAAACUGUACGAUCGAAACUCGUAAAUCAUAAUUGUAAACGCGAAGAUGGCACCCCGCUGGGGGUAACCAUCCACAUGCUAUUCAAUCAUAUGUUAUA